UCCUGAACUGCCUGCAUGGUGACGUGUUUCUUGUCUGACUUCGAGACUGGUUAAUUGAAUAGCACUCAACUGAUUAGUAGAUCAUCAUGGCUGAUGAACAACAGCGACGACUUCAUCAUUUGUACACAUGCCCAGGGUGUGGUAUACAGAAGUUUACCCUCUUGAAAUUAGUUCAACACAUUGGUAUAGCACAUCAGCACGAGGCAAAUUUCACCAUAAUAUGUAGAUUUGGAAAAUGCCAUCUCCCAUUCCAGAACUAUCGGUCUUAUGUUACGCACCUAUAUAAAAAACACAUUGACUUAUUCAAACAAGACUCAUUCGAAAGGCCUGUUGAAGAAAAUAUGGUUCCUGCUAGUGAUACUGAUGAUAUUAAUAAUGUUAUGGAUACUGGUGAUGACGAUUUUCCAGUUGUUCGAGAGGAUACUUUUGAUCUUCAUGCCGCUCUUGAAGGAUUCAAGGAGCACGUAUGUUUGUUCAUCAUAAAGCUUCAAGAAAAGCAUGCUCUUCCUCGGAACACCCACAGAACUGUUAUGGAGGAGUUCAAAUUUUUGUUAAAAUUCUUCUCUGGAAAUUAUAGUAAGAUGAUUAAGUCUCACCUGACAAAUAAAGGUUACAACUUUGAGGAGGAUGAUAAACUCCUUGACCUACUGUCAGAUGAUAAUGUCUUCCUCAAGUCAUUGGAGUGUGUCACUUCAGACUAUGAAGUUAUUAAAUAUUUCACGGAUCACUUUAACCUUGUAAAACCUGUUGAGAUCACACUUGGCUCUGAUAACAAUGGUAAACCCCAAACUUAUCAGUAUGUUCCUAUCCUCGAUGUUCUUAAGAAUCUUCUUAACGAAGAAGACGUUUGGAGUGACUUCUGGAGUGGUGCUAAUUCUGUUAAUACUGAUCAAGACAAAUUGCUUGAUUAUGUGGAUGGUGAGUUGUGCAAGGAUCACAUUCUACUCAAGGAGAAGGAUUCAAUCAGACUCCAUUUGUAUAACGAUUAAUUCCAAAUUGUAAAUCCUCUUGGAUCACAGAAAAAAAUCCACAAAAUUAGUGCAUUUUACUUUGUCUUGGGUAAUCUGAACUCCAAGUAUAGGACCCAGCUAAGGCAUAUUAACUUACUAAUGUUGGUGCCUCAUCGCCUCAUUCAAAGUGGGCGUUACAGUUAUGGAGACGUAUUAAAGGUUCUGAUUGAUGAUUUGAAAAUUCUUGAAGUGGAAGGCAUUACUGUUGAACAAGGCAGCGUCAUUCAUCGACUUCAUGGUGGGGUGGCUACCAUAUCUUGUGAUAAUUUGUCUGCCCAUUCCUUAGGAGGCUUCAGCUGUUCGUUUUCAACUGGACGAAUUUGUCGAUUCUGUAUGGUUUUACAUGGCCAGUUAAAUAAGUUCCAUUGUGAGGAGAAGGUACGGUUGAGAACCUCUGAAAGUCUCUUGCGGCAGCAGAAGGAGGUCUUGAAGGAUCCUAAGAAUUCAAAGUUGUAUGGAGUGAAAGGCAAGUGUCCUUUCCAAGAGCUGGGCUACUUUGACACUCUAAUGUCGUUUCCGCCAGACAUUAUGCAUGACCUACUGGAAGGAGUAGUACCAUUAUUAUUGAAGCUACUUUUGCAGGAACUUGUGUCCUCCAAAAUUCUGAGACUGGAUGAACUUAAUUACUGCAUUGAUACAUUCCAAUAUGGCCCUUCAGAUAAACCAUGCAAGCCAGUUCAAAUACCAAAGACUGUUCUGAAGGACGGGACCAUCCCUGGGACGGCCUCUCAGAAGUGGUGCCUUUUCAGGCUGUUUCCAUAUUUUCUCGCUUCCACGAUUGGUCUGCCGCCUACAAGGAACCCACAUUGGCUGCUUUAUCUUGAGCUCCGAGAGAUUGUGGAGAUAGUGAUUGCCCCAGCUCUACGAAAGAGUUUGCUUGGUUACCUCAAAUUACUUAUAGAUGGAUUUCUUAAAAGGUAUAGCAAGCUUUACCCAAGAAACUUCACCCCAAAGGUGCAUUUCCUGAUGCACUACCCGCGGUUGAUUGCACUGUUUGGAAACCUUCGUUCACUCUGGGUGAUGCGUUUUGAGGGGAAGCACCGGUACUUCAAGAGAAUUGCUGGUGUAAUGUGCAAUUAUAGGAACCCACGCAAAACCCUUGCCAUGAGGCACCAGCUCUACCAAUCGUGGCAGCUUCACUCGAGAGAUUUUUUGGGAAAGAACUAUUUAUCAACUGCUGGAGUUUCGAACACUGAGUUGGGACAACUCCCCCUGUAGUGCGGAGGGAAAUUUUGCCACUUUUAACAUCAGCGGAUUUGAAGGAAUCAAUCAUGCGUGUCAAACAGAUUACCAUGGAUCACAACACUUAUUCAUCGGGGAAAUUUAUUGUCGUGGAUCUGCUCCAUGAGGAAAAUAUUCCACUGUUCAUGAAAGUUGUUUAUAUAUUGCAUUGUCGUGGGCAAUGGAUCAUUUGUGGCAAACUCUACAUGGCAGAUUCUUUUGACGAGCAUGUCCAUGGUUUUCGCAUCCAGGACUGCAAGUCUUGGCUUGCGAUCUGUCUGGGCCAAGAAAGAGACUGCCAUGGGCUUGAUGUAUAUAAGAACUCCGUUGAUGAUGAGUGUGUUACCUUGCGGUAUAGGCUAAUGUAGAUAGAACAGGUAAUGAUGUUGAUCGUCCAACUUUGGUGGGGAUGACUGCAGAUAUGUUCAAGGAGCUCAUCCCGAACAUGAGGAGGAGAAUUAUUUGCAUUGAAAAAAGGAGAGUCUUA
Lineus longissimus is the source of this 2718-nucleotide long non-coding RNA. RefSeq lists it as uncharacterized. Lineage: Eukaryota; Metazoa; Nemertea; Pilidiophora; Heteronemertea; Lineidae. The record is from RefSeq and is a predicted model, not a curated record. The transcript is spliced from 3 exons.